RNAcentral lists this ribosomal RNA (1352 nucleotides) under Lactiplantibacillus plantarum. RNAcentral describes it as "Lactobacillus plantarum partial 16S ribosomal RNA". It matches the Rfam family "Bacterial small subunit ribosomal RNA", at positions 11 to 1329 of the family's 1533-position model. Lineage: Bacteria; Bacillati; Bacillota; Bacilli; Lactobacillales; Lactobacillaceae. The record is from RNAcentral.
GUUUGAUCCUGGCUCAGGACGAACGCUGGCGGCGUGCCUAAUACAUGCAAGUCGAACGAACUCUGGUAUUGAUUGGUGCUUGCAUCAUGAUUUACAUUUGAGUGAGUGGCGAACUGGUGAGUAACACGUGGGAAACCUGCCCAGAAGCGGGGGAUAACACCUGGAAACAGAUGCUAAUACCGCAUAACAACUUGGACCGCAUGGUCCGAGCUUGAAAGAUGGCUUCGGCUAUCACUUUUGGAUGGUCCCGCGGCGUAUUAGCUAGAUGGUGGGGUAACGGCUCACCAUGGCAAUGAUACGUAGCCGACCUGAGAGGGUAAUCGGCCACAUUGGGACUGAGACACGGCCCAAACUCCUACGGGAGGCAGCAGUAGGGAAUCUUCCACAAUGGACGAAAGUCUGAUGGAGCAACGCCGCGUGAGUGAAGAAGGGUUUCGGCUCGUAAAACUCUGUUGUUAAAGAAGAACAUAUCUGAGAGUAACUGUUCAGGUAUUGACGGUAUUUAACCAGAAAGCCACGGCUAACUACGUGCCAGCAGCCGCGGUAAUACGUAGGUGGCAAGCGUUGUCCGGAUUUAUUGGGCGUAAAGCGAGCGCAGGCGGUUUUUUAAGUCUGAUGUGAAAGCCUUCGGCUCAACCGAAGAAGUGCAUCGGAAACUGGGAAACUUGAGUGCAGAAGAGGACAGUGGAACUCCAUGUGUAGCGGUGAAAUGCGUAGAUAUAUGGAAGAACACCAGUGGCGAAGGCGGCUGUCUGGUCUGUAACUGACGCUGAGGCUCGAAAGUAUGGGUAGCAAACAGGAUUAGAUACCCUGGUAGUCCAUACCGUAAACGAUGAAUGCUAAGUGUUGGAGGGUUUCCGCCCUUCAGUGCUGCAGCUAACGCAUUAAGCAUUCCGCCUGGGGAGUACGGCCGCAAGGCUGAAACUCAAAGGAAUUGACGGGGGCCCGCACAAGCGGUGGAGCAUGUGGUUUAAUUCGAAGCUACGCGAAGAACCUUACCAGGUCUUGACAUACUAUGCAAAUCUAAGAGAUUAGACGUUCCCUUCGGGGACAUGGAUACAGGUGGUGCAUGGUUGUCGUCAGCUCGUGUCGUGAGAUGUUGGGUUAAGUCCCGCAACGAGCGCAACCCUUAUUAUCAGUUGCCAGCAUUAAGUUGGGCACUCUGGUGAGACUGCCGGUGACAAACCGGAGGAAGGUGGGGAUGACGUCCAAUCAUCAUGCCCCUUAUGACCUGGGCUACACACGUGCUACAAUGGAUGGGACCCCGAGUUGCGAACUCGCGAGAGUAAGCUAAUCUCUUAAAGCCAUUCUCAGUUCGGAUUGUAGGCUGAUACUCGCCUACUUGAAGUCGG